RNAcentral lists this unclassified non-coding RNA (242 nucleotides) under fungal sp. Its description in RNAcentral is "partial internal transcribed spacer region". The stretch from base 1 to 46 matches the Rfam family "Eukaryotic small subunit ribosomal RNA", at positions 1786 to 1831 of the family's 1831-position model. Lineage: Eukaryota; Fungi. The record is from RNAcentral.
AAGUCGUAACAAGGUCUCCGUUGGUGAACCAGCGGAGGGAUCAUUACAGAGUUGCAAAACUCCCCAAAACCAUUGUGAACCUUACCUUCAACCGUUGCUUCGGCGGGCGGGCCACAGCGCCCCCCGGGCCCCCCCAGCGGGGCGCCCGCCGGAGGAUACCCAAACUCUUGAUACUUUAUGGCCUCUCUGAGUCUUCUGUACUGAAUAAGUCAAAACUUUCAACAACGGAUCUCUUGGCUCUG